RNAcentral lists this transfer RNA (68 nucleotides) under Marmota monax (woodchuck). RNAcentral describes it as "tRNA.Ala". The record is from RNAcentral. Lineage: Eukaryota; Metazoa; Chordata; Mammalia; Rodentia; Sciuridae.
GCUGUGGCUCAGUGGUACAGCACUUGUCUAGCAUGUGUGAGGCACUGGGUUUGAUUCUCAGCACUGCA